Molecule: small RNA, 151 nt
Filed under: Aotus nancymaae (Ma's night monkey)
Lineage: Eukaryota; Metazoa; Chordata; Mammalia; Primates; Aotidae
Description: sRNA (ENSANAG00000005433.1)
Source: RNAcentral
GUCUCCUGAGCCUUGCUAAUGCAUGAUCCAUACCCGGAGAUAAAAGUCUAGACAAUAGACGGCUGUUUAUGACAACCAGGCUCUCCAAGUUUGGGGCCAGGCGAUAAAUCUCUGGCGAAUCUUCCUGUAACUCAACUUCUGGCUGUAGUGA